GAUGAACGCUGGCGGUAUGCUUAACACAUGCAAGUCGUACGAAGAUCUUUGAUCUUAGUGGCGGACGGGUGAGUAACACGUGAGAAUCUGCCCUUAGGAAGAGGAUAACAGCUGGAAACGGUUGCUAAUACUCUAUACGCCGAGAGGUAAAAGGAUUUAUCCACCUUAGGAAGAGCUCGCGUCUGAUUAGCUUGUUGGUAAGGUAAUGGCUUACCAAGGCGACGAUCAGUAGCUGGUUUGAGAGGACGACCAGCCACACUGGGACUGAGACACGGCCCAGACUCCUACGGGAGGCAGCAGUGGGGAAUUUUCCGCAAUGGGCGAAAGCCUGACGGAGCAAUACCGCGUGAGGGAUGAAAGCCUGUGGUUGUAAACCUCUUUCUCAGGAAGAAGUUCUGACGGUACUUGAGGAAUAAGCAUCGGCUAACUCUGUG
RNAcentral lists this ribosomal RNA (434 nucleotides) under uncultured bacterium. RNAcentral describes it as "bacterial SSU rRNA". It matches the Rfam family "Bacterial small subunit ribosomal RNA", at positions 28 to 507 of the family's 1533-position model. The record is from RNAcentral.